This 1434-nucleotide ribosomal RNA is filed under the name uncultured organism. RNAcentral's name for it is "16S ribosomal RNA". It matches the Rfam family "Bacterial small subunit ribosomal RNA". The record is from RNAcentral.
CAGGCUUAACACAUGCAAGUCGAGGGGCAGCAUGGUCUUAGCUUGCUAAGGCCGAUGGCGACCGGCGCACGGGUGAGUAACACGUAUCCAACCUGCCGUCUACUCUUGGACAGCCUUCUGAAAGGAAGAUUAAUACAAGAUGGCAUCAUGAGUCCGCAUGUUCACAUGAUUAAAGGUAUUCCGGUAGACGAUGGGGAUGCGUUCCAUUAGAUAGUAGGCGGGGUAACGGCCCACCUAGUCUUCGAUGGAUAGGGGUUCUGAGAGGAAGGUCCCCCACAUUGGAACUGAGACACGGUCCAAACUCCUACGGGAGGCAGCAGUGAGGAAUAUUGGUCAAUGGGCGAGAGCCUGAACCAGCCAAGUAGCGUGAAGGAUGACUGCCCUAUGGGUUGUAAACUUCUUUUAUAAAGGAAUAAAGUCGGGUAUGGAUACCCGUUUGCAUGUACUUUAUGAAUAAGGAUCGGCUAACUCCGUGCCAGCAGCCGCGGUAGUACGGAGGAUCCGAGCGUUAUCCGGAUUUAUUGGGUUUAAAGGGAGCGUAGAUGGAUGUUUAAGUCAGUUGUGAAAGUUUGCGGCUCAACCGUAAAAUUGCAGUUGAUACUGGAUAUCUUGAGUGCAGUUGAGGCAGGCGGAAUUCGUGGUGUAGCGGUGAAAUGCUUAGAUAUCACGAAGAACUCCGAUUGCGAAGGCAGCCUGCUAAGCUGCAACUGACAUUGAGGCUCGAAAGUGUGGGUAUCAAACAGGAUUAGAUACCCUGGUAGUCCACACGGUAAACGAUGAAUACUCGCUGUUUGCGAUAUACUGCAAGCGGCCAAGCGAAAGUGUUAAGUAUUCCACCUGGGGAGUACGCCGGCAACGGUGAAACUCAAAGGAAUUGACGGGGGCCCGCACAAGCGGAGGAACAUGUGGUUUAAUUCGAUGAUACGCGAGGAACCUUACCCGGGCUUAAAUUGCAGAUGAAUUACGGUGAAAGCCGUAAGCCGCAAGGCAUCUGUGAAGGUGCUGCAUGGUUGUCGUCAGCUCGUGCCGUGAGGUGUCGGCUUAAGUGCCAUAACGAGCGCAACCCUUGUUGUCAGUUACUAACAGGUUCCGCUGAGGACUCUGACAAGACUGCCAUCGUAAGAUGUGAGGAAGGUGGGGAUGACGUCAAAUCAGCACGGCCCUUACGUCCGGGGCUACACACGUGUUACAAUGGGGGGUACAGAGGGCCGCUACCACGCGAGUGGAUGCCAAUCCCCAAAACCUCUCUCAGUUCGGACUGGAGUCUGCAACCCGACUCCACGAAGCUGGAUUCGCUAGUAAUCGCGCAUCAGCCACGGCGCGGUGAAUACGUUCCCGGGCCUUGUACACACCGCCCGUCAAGCCAUGGGAGCCGGGGGUACCUGAAGUGCGUAACCGCGAGGAGCGCCCUAGGGUAAAACUGGUGACUGGGGC